GUCCAGACUCCUACGGGAGGCAGCAGUGGGGAGUAUUGCACAAUGGGGGAAACCCUGAUGCAGCGACGCCGCGUGAGCGAUGAAGUAUUUCGGUAUGUAAAGCUCUAUCAGCAGGGAAGAAAAUGACGGUACCUGACUAAGAAGCCCUGGCUAACUACGUGCCAGCAGCCGCGGUAAUACGGAGGAUGCGAGCGUUAUCCGGAUUUAUUGGGUUUAAAGGGUGCGUAGGCGGAUUUUUAAGUCAGCGGUAAAAUGUCCGGGCUCAACCCGGGCCGGCCGUUGAAACUGGGGAUCUUGAGUGGGCGAGAAGUAUGCGGAAUGCGUGGUGUAGCGGUGAAAUGCAUAGAUAUCACGCAGAACCCCGAUUGCGAAGGCAGCAUACCGGUGCACAACUGACGCUCAGGCACGAAAGCGUGGGUAUCGAACAGGAUUAGAUACCCCUGUA
Molecule: ribosomal RNA, 445 nt
Filed under: uncultured bacterium
Lineage: Bacteria
Description: bacterial SSU rRNA
Rfam family: Bacterial small subunit ribosomal RNA
Source: RNAcentral